AUAACAACAUAAAACAAACAGUACCGAAUAAGGAUAUAAAGGUAGCUCCAUCGGCAAUACUAAUGGCGGACAAGGCCUCGUUCUAUGGCUGUAGAUUCAUCAGUGUCCAAGACACACUUGCGGACUUACUUGGUCGCUACUACUUCCACAAAUGUUACAUCGAAGGAGCCGUUGAUUUCAUAUGGGGAAGAGGCCAAUCUAUAUACCAAGUAAUCUCAUAUAUUCUCUCAAUAAAAGCAUGCAGGUUAAGUAUACGGAUGUUGUGAUAAAACAAUACUGUACAAAAAGAUAAUAAUUUAUAUUUAUGGGAUCAAGGAUGGAGCCGAAAUGAUUCGUCUGAAAAACUUCCGACGAUCUAACUUUUAUCGGAAUUUAUUUUCGACGAAUGUUUUGGUCUGUUUUGAUGAGGACUACAUCUGAUGGAAUUCUUUGGAAAUUCAUCGAAGUUGCCGAGAAAUUUCCGAUGGAAUUUUUCUUUUGACGAAAUAGUACUGAUGAGCGAUUUGUUGGAAAUUCGUAGGGAUUGUCUUUUCUCGACGCAUUUCCAAUGAAAUAUGCGGUCAGAAAUCGUUUAUUUUAUUAUAGUGGGAGUCAGUUUGAAGGCUAGGCAACAUCACAAGCGAACAUGCCAAACAAAACCUACCAAGAGUCAACAUACCAAGCAAAAACUGUUAUAUUUUUCUGUUUUCCCGUUCUAAUUGAGCCAAAAUAUAUCUAAAUGAGUUGGUAUUUGGAUGCAGAACUGCGUGAUAAAUGUUAUAGGGGUAACAUCAAAGAAAACGGUGAAUAACAGAGAAAUGUUAGCAGGAUUCAUAACUGCGCAAGGGAGGGAAAGCGAGCAAGACACAAGUGGAUUUGUGUUUUAAUAAAUGUGUGAUCAAAGGAACUGGUAAGGCAUUCCUCGGAAGAGCCUACGGAGGCUAUUCUAGAGUUGUCUUUUAUGGAACACACAUGUCCAAUGUCGUUGUUCCUCAAGGUUGGGAUGCUUGGCAUUAUAAAGGCCAAGAGGAUAAAUCUACAUUUGUGGAGGUAAACAGCACAGGAAAAGGAGCAAGUAAGAAGGGAAGAAUUGGGUGGGAGAGGAAUCUCUCAGCUAAAGAAGUUGAUUUUCUUUUAAAUCCUAAAACUUUCGUCGAUAAAGAUGGUUGGAUGGCCACUCUUCCUUCUUCUCUCGUCUCUUUAGAUUAACCAUCUUCCAUCUUUAAACUUCAGAAUUUGAUUUCGUUUAUAAUGUUAGUGGAGAAAACAUUCUUUAAUUCUUAUGAAAAGAAUAAGAUAUAUAUUUAUGCUGUA
Long non-coding RNA from Raphanus sativus (radish), 1293 nucleotides. RefSeq lists it as uncharacterized. The transcript is spliced from 2 exons. NCBI's taxonomy places the organism in Eukaryota, Viridiplantae, Streptophyta, Magnoliopsida, Brassicales, Brassicaceae. The record is from RefSeq and is a predicted model, not a curated record.